UAUUUUUAGUAUGUUCAAGAGAUUUCAUCUUACUUGAAAAUAAAAUAUUGAUACGAAAUACGU
This 63-nucleotide transfer RNA is filed under the name Lotharella globosa. Lineage: Eukaryota; Cercozoa; Chlorarachniophyceae. The record is from RNAcentral.